UACGUAGGGACCAAGCGUUGUUCGGAUUUACUGGGCGUAAAGGGCGCGUAGGCGGCGCGGUAAGUCACUUGUGAAAUCUCUGAGCUUAACUCAGAACGGCCAAGUGAUACUGCAGUGCUAGAGUGUGGAAGGGGCAAUCGGAAUUCUUGGUGUAGCGGUGAAAUGCGUAGAUAUCUGGAGGAACACCGGUGGCGAAGGCGGCAUCCUGGACCAAUUCUGACGCUGAGGAGCGAAAGCCAGGGGAGCAAACGGG
This 253-nucleotide ribosomal RNA is filed under the name uncultured bacterium. Its description in RNAcentral is "partial 16S ribosomal RNA". It matches the Rfam family "Bacterial small subunit ribosomal RNA", at positions 524 to 776 of the family's 1533-position model. The record is from RNAcentral.